GACGAACGCUGGCGGCGUGCUUAACACAUGCAAGUCGAACGGAAAGGCCCUGCUUUUGCGGGGUGCUCGAGAGGCGAACGGGUGAGUAACACGUGAGUAACCUGCACUUGUCUUUGGGAUAUCUUUAGGAAAAUGGGGCUCUUACAGCAUAGGAGCUCCUGCUGCAUGGUGGGGGUUGGAAAGAUUCGGCGGUUGGGGAUGGACGCGCGGCUUAUCAGCUUGUUGGUGGGGUAGUGGCUUACCAAGGCUUUGACGGGUAGCCGGCCUGAGCGGGUGACCGGCCACAGUGGGACUGAGAGACGGCCCAGACUCCUACGGGAGGCAGCAGUGGGGAAUAGUGCACAAUGGGCGGAAGCCUGAUGCAGCAACGCCGCGUGCGGGAUGACGGCCUUCGGGUUGUAAACCGCUUUCGCCUGUGACGAAGCGUGAGUGACGGUAAUGGGUAAAGAAGCACCGGCUAACUACGUG
RNAcentral lists this ribosomal RNA (468 nucleotides) under uncultured bacterium. RNAcentral's name for it is "partial 16S ribosomal RNA". It matches the Rfam family "Bacterial small subunit ribosomal RNA", at positions 28 to 507 of the family's 1533-position model. The record is from RNAcentral.